AUACGUAGGGGGCAAGCGUUAUCCGGAUUUACUGGGUGUAAAGGGAGCGUAGGCGGCAAGGCAAGUCUGAUGUGAAAACCCGGGGCUCAACCCCGGGACUGCAUUGGAAACUGCUUAGCUAGAGUGUCGGAGAGGUAAGUGGAAUUCCUAGUGUAGAGGUGAAAUUCGUAGAUAUUAGGAGGAACACCAGUGGCGAAGGCGACUUACUGGACUGUAACUGACACUGAGGCACGAAAGCGUGGGUAGC
This 247-nucleotide ribosomal RNA is filed under the name uncultured bacterium. RNAcentral describes it as "partial 16S ribosomal RNA". It matches the Rfam family "Bacterial small subunit ribosomal RNA", at positions 523 to 769 of the family's 1533-position model. The record is from RNAcentral.